Molecule: unclassified non-coding RNA, 359 nt
Filed under: Linnemannia exigua
Lineage: Eukaryota; Fungi; Mortierellomycota; Mortierellomycetes; Mortierellales; Mortierellaceae
Description: sequence contains 5.8S rRNA gene
Rfam family: 5.8S ribosomal RNA (bases 1-53)
Source: RNAcentral
GAACGCAUAUUGCGCUCUUUGGUAUUCCGAAGAGCAUGCUUGUUUGAGUAUCAGUAAACACCUCAAAACUCUUGAUCUUUUUCAAGCGUUUUGGACUUGAGCAAACCCAACGCCUUUUCUUUUAAGAUCUGUUGCGGCGGGUUGUUUGAAAUGCCGGCGCAGCUUGACAAUCUCCUGAGCUAAAAGCAUAUUUAUUUAGUCCCGUCAAACGGAUUAUUACUUUUUGCUGCAGCUAACAUAAAGGGAGUUUUGACCAUUAUGGCUGACUGAUGCAGGAUUUCACAGAGAAAAGGCCGGCAACGGUUUUGUCUCUGUCAAACUCGAUCUCAAAUCAAGUAAGACUACCCGCUGAACUUAAG